CGGAUAUGAGCCGUCCUCGCAUGGGGGUGGUUGGAAAGUUUUUCGGUCAGGGAUGGGCUCGCGGCCUAUCAGCUUGUUGGUGGGGUGAUGGCCUACCAAGGCGACGACGGGUAGCCGGCCUGAGAGGGCGACCGGCCACACUGGGACUGAGACACGGCCCAGACUCCUACGGGAGGCAGCAGUGGGGAAUAUUGCACAAUGGGCGCAAGCCUGAUGCAGCGACGCCGCGUGAGGGAUGAAGGCCUUCGGGUUGUAAACCUCUUUCAGCAGGGAAGAAGCGCAAGUGACGGUACCUGCAGAAGAAGCGCCGGCUAACUACGUGCCAGCAGCCGCGGUAAUACGUAGGGCGCAAGCGUUGUCCGGAAUUAUUGGGCGUAAAGAGCUCGUAGGCGGUCUGUCGCGUCUGGUGUGAAAACCCAUGGCUCAACCAUGGGCUUGCAUCGGGUACGGGCAGACUAGAGUGCGGUAGGGGAGACUGGAAUUCCUGGUGUAGCGGUGGAAUGCGCAGAUAUCAGGAGGAACACCGAUGGCGAAGGCAGGUCUCUGGGCCGCAACUGACGCUGAGGAGCGAAAGCAUGGGGAGCGAACAGGAUUAGAUACCCUGGUAGUCCAUGCCGUAAACGUUGGGCA
RNAcentral lists this ribosomal RNA (630 nucleotides) under Cellulosimicrobium sp. RNAcentral describes it as "bacterial SSU rRNA". It matches the Rfam family "Bacterial small subunit ribosomal RNA", at positions 170 to 815 of the family's 1533-position model. The record is from RNAcentral. Lineage: Bacteria; Bacillati; Actinomycetota; Actinomycetes; Micrococcales; Promicromonosporaceae.